CCACUCAAGCUCGGCUUGUUAUUGGGUCCUUUAUCGUUAAAAAGAUAGGCCCGAAAGAUAAUGGCGGCGUCAAGAAUGACCCCAGGUGCAGCGAGCUUAUACAGCAUACACUGAGGUGGUUAUCUUGGCCUGGCCUUGUUUGUUAAAAACACAUUUCAAAGGUUGACCUCGGAUUAGGUAGGAAUACCCGCUGAACUUAA
RNAcentral lists this unclassified non-coding RNA (200 nucleotides) under soil metagenome. RNAcentral describes it as "partial contains internal transcribed spacer 2 and large subunit ribosomal RNA". The record is from RNAcentral.